RNAcentral lists this ribosomal RNA (510 nucleotides) under Sungouiella pseudointermedia. Its description in RNAcentral is "LSU rRNA". It matches the Rfam family "Eukaryotic large subunit ribosomal RNA", at positions 88 to 664 of the family's 3401-position model. Lineage: Eukaryota; Fungi; Ascomycota; Pichiomycetes; Serinales; Metschnikowiaceae. The record is from RNAcentral.
GGCGAGUGAAGCGGCAAAAGCUCAAAUUUGAAAUCCUUCGGGAGUUGUAAUUUGUAGGUUGGGAGACCCCGCGGCUAGUGGCACCAAGUCCCUUGGAACAGGGCGCCUUAGAGGGUGAGAGCCCCGUAGGUACCACAACACCGUCUUGUGUCUCCUCUCCAAAGAGUCGAGUUGUUUGGGAAUGCAGCUCAAAGUGGGUGGUAAAUUCCAUCUAAAGCUAAAUACCGGCGAGAGACCGAUAGCGAACAAGUACAGUGAUGGAAAGAUGAAAAGCACUUUGAAAAGAGAGUGAAACAGUACGUGAAAUUGUUGAAAGGGAAGGGCUUGCAAGCAGACACGGCCUUCGUGCCGGGCCAGCAUCGGUUGCUAGGGGUGGAUAAGGAACAAGGAAUGUAGCUCCUCGGAGUAUUAUAGCCUUGCGCGAUACACCCACUGGCGACCGAGGCCUGCGGUAUUCCUACCUAGGAUGCUGGCGUAAUGGUUGCAAGCCGCCCGUCUUGAACACAGGGG